Molecule: ribosomal RNA, 427 nt
Filed under: uncultured bacterium
Lineage: Bacteria
Description: partial 16S ribosomal RNA
Rfam family: Bacterial small subunit ribosomal RNA
Source: RNAcentral
UGGGGAAUAUUGCACAAUGGGCGCAAGCCUGAUGCAGCCAUGCCGCGUGUAUGAAGAAGGCCUUCGGGUUGUAAAGUACUUUCAGCGGAGAGGAAGGUGUUGAGGUUAAUAACCUCAGCAAUUGACGUUACCCGCAGAAGAAGCACCGGCUAACUCCGUGCCAGCAGCCGCGGUAAUACGGAGGGUGCAAGCGUUAAUCGGAAUUACUGGGCGUAAAGCGCACGCAGGCGGUCUGUCAAGUCGGAUGUGAAAUCCCCGGGCUCAACCUGGGAACUGCAUUCGAAACUGGCAGGCUAGAGUCUUGUAGAGGGGGGUAGAAUUCCAGGUGUAGCGGUGAAAUGCGUAGAGAUCUGGAGGAAUACCGGUGGCGAAGGCGGCCCCCUGGACAAAGACUGACGCUCAGGUGCGAAAGCGUGGGGAGCAAACA